Molecule: long non-coding RNA, 3398 nt
Filed under: Nicotiana benthamiana
Lineage: Eukaryota; Viridiplantae; Streptophyta; Magnoliopsida; Solanales; Solanaceae
Description: long non-coding RNA (NBEN_LNC015317)
Source: RNAcentral
AGACCACAUGUAUUUUGUCUCGCACAAAAGUUGAAAUCGACUUCUAUGUGCUUUGUCCUAUCAUGGAACACAAGGUUCCUAGCAAUGUGUAAAGGUGUUUGGCUAUCGCAAAACACUUGAAUGGUAUCAGUACGUGGAACCGUGAGUUCCUCCAACAAUCUAUGCACCCAUACCAAUUCUCCAACAACAUUUCUUAGUGAUAUAUACUCUGUUUCUUCGGAAGAUAAUAAGACAGUAGUCUGCUUCUUUGAUUUCAAGUUAAUGGGGCUACCUCCAAAGAGCACCAGAUACCCACUUACAAAUCUCCUUGAGUCAGACAUGCUACUCAAUCCGAGUCACAAUAGGCUUUGGCCUUUUAAGAAGGAUCAUUGGACAAAAAAAUGCCUAGAGUAGGAUCAUUCUUCAGAUACCUGAGUACAUGUAUAGCAGCCUUCAGGAGAGGCUCUCUUGGUGUCUGCAUAAGUUGGCUUAGGUGUUGUACACUAUAUGCAAUAUCCAGCCUUGUGUUUGUGAGAAAGUUGAGCUUCCCAACUAGUUUUCUAUAAUUAGAUGGAUCAGACAGCAAAAUACCUUCUUCAACCCUAAGUUUGGUUAAUGAAUCUAGUGGAGAUGAAAUAGCAUAAUACCCCAGGCAAAUGGCAAUCAUACUCUUUCAGUAGGUCAGUGGUGAACUUCAUUUGGGAGAUCAACACUCCAUUAUCCUUGUAAAGCAUCUCUAUCCCCAAGAAGUAAUGUAAUUUACCUAAAUAUUUUAUUUUGAACUGAUUAUGUAAGUAAGUCUUCAACACCUUAAUUUCCUCAAGAUUAGUCCUAUUAAGGAUCACAUUAUCAACAUAUACAACUAAAAAAACUGAUGACUCACCUUACUUUUUGUAGAACAAGGAGUAAUCAUUAGUUGAAUGUCUGAGACCUGUGGAGUACAGGGAUUCGGUUAGCUUGUCAUACCACUGUCUACUAGCUUUUUUGAGGCCAUACAGAGACUUCCUUAAUCUUCACACAAGUUGUGUGUAUUCUACCUUUGGACCUUGUGGGAUUUACAUGUAUACCUAUCAUAUAGGUCUCGAUGUAGGAACAUAUUAUUCACAUCCAGCUGAUAAAGGUCCUAUCCUUUCUUUACGACAGUGCUAAUCAGGACUCUAAUAGUGGUUAUCUUCAUCAUUGGGGAGAAAGUUUCUGUAUAGUGAAUCCCAACUUCUUGUGUGUAUCCCUUUACUACAAUCUUGCUUUAUAUCUUUCCGCACUUCCAUCUACUUUGUGCUUUAUCUUGUACACCGACUUGCAUCCUAUGGCCUUCUUUUCUGCAGGAAACUUAACUAGAUCCUAAGUAUGGUUAGCAUAUAAAGCUUCAAAUUCUUGUGUCACUGCUACUUGCCAGGUAAGAUUCAAGGUUACCUCCUCAUAAGAGCAUGGUUCACACUCAUGUGAAAUGUCUUAACUAAUUGAUGGCUAUCAUGGCUCAAUGUGUUGAAGAAACAUAAUGGUUAUCAGAGAAAAGGGCAGUAAGUGAAGUAGGAGAUAAUUGAUGUUCAAGGUUUGUGUUGUUGUUUAAGUUACUGUUUGGUUGUAAAUUAGUUAGUGUAUAGACAUAGUCUUUGAGGUGUGAGGGUGUGUUAAGUGUUCUUCUUGAUCUUCUAUGUUGAUUGGUUGGUUGACCAAUAUUAGGCUCUAUGUUAUGUGGUGCUUGGUUGUAGGGUGCUACGUGGAAUUCUGAGUGUUCUACAGGUGAAACACUUGGUUCUCUAUUUAGGUUUACAUGUGAAAUAUGAUUUGGUGCGUAUGUAGAUUUUGACAAAGGGUUAAUGUCUGGUGUAUCAAGUAUAGGACUUUCUGUGACAGAAGUUGAUGCAUCUCUAUUGUGAUUUCAAUGAUCAUCAAGUGAAUUUAUUGUGGAAUUGGGACAAGGGAAAUUGUGGUUUAUCAUAUGCAACAUAUAAGGAAAAGAGGAAUGUUCAGGUGAAAUGGCUAAAGGAAAAACACCUUCAUGAAGCAUAACAUCUCUAGACACAUGUACCCUCUUUGUGGCUAAAUCAAGGACCAUAUUUUGGUCCUAAAAGAAUAUCCUACAAAUACAUGAUGAGUGGCUCAAGGUUCAGAUUUAUAUUUGUGAGUUUUGAGUGUGGUAGCAUAACACAGGCAACCAAAACUUCUAAAAUGUGAAUAGGUUGGUUUUCUGUUGUAAAGGAUCUCAAGGAUUGCAUAGGUGAAUUAUGACUCUUUCAUGUAUUUACUAUUUCAGUCAAUGCAGGAAAACAAGAAUGAGAGUAAAGAUUGAAAAGAAUAGAAAAAGAACCCGACUCUGAACACCAAUGACACUCAAGGCAAAGGAAGUACAAUCCACUCCUUGCCUUACCAAUCUUCAGGCAUCUUCAUUGAAGGGCCUGCAUCAUUCAAAGGUAUUUAUUGUAGUUAACUAUGCAAUUAAUCAGUUAAGGAAUGAAUAUAGAUGAGGUUGUAUUUGAAAAUAGGCACAUAUAUUACUCUAACUAAGGUUAACAUAGGACCAACAGAUGCAUCUCCAAUUUCUGUCACUUUCACUCUAUAUCUGUUAGGUAAGGUAACUACGAAAGGAUAGGGCAAGGUUCUAAAAUUAUUUAAAAAGGAUUUUCUAUGUCAUAUGAUUUGAGGAUCCACUAUCUAAUAUCCACGAGUCAGCAAUAGAUUUAGAAAAUGUACACACGGUUGUUUCAAAAAUCUCUUUAUAGGUAGAACAUGCUAGAAUGCCUGCGAAGUUUGCAGCUCCACAAGUCAUGUUGUUGUUAGGACCUUCUUCUGUGUUUCUUCCUGGGAAUUUCUCCAUUAAGCUAAUUAAUUGGUUGUAUCUCUCCGUUGUUAGGCUCUUAAGUCCCUGACUUUGAUUUCUUUUUUCCAUCUCCUCACAAUCUACAGGAACAUUUACAGCAGAUGUUGCAUUUCUCCGUUUUGUGAAAAGACAAGAAAGGUUGCUCUGAUAGUAAGCAACCUCCAUUUCCAACCAAAAGGUUGUAAGUUCGAGUCUCCCCAGGAGCAAUGUGGGAAGUUCUUGGAGGGAAGGAUGCCGAUGGUCUAUUUGGAAAAAGCCUCUCUACCUUAGGGUAGGGGUAAUGUAUGCGUACACAUUACCCUCACCAGACCCCACUAAGUGAGAUUAUACUGGGUUGUUGUUGUUGCUGUUGAAGUCUUGUGGGAAACCAUGAAUUCUGUAACAUUUGUCCCUGGUGUGUCCUGUCUUUUCACAAUAGUCAUAGAACAUCCAAGACUUAGCAGGUGGAUAGUUUGAUUUUUUUUUUGAAUUGUAUGGGUUUGGCCCAAUACUACCUCCUCCCCGAUUGUAAUUGGUCCUUGUUACAUCUUGCAUUUUUGUAUGUUAAAGUUUCAUCUUCAGUUAAUCGACAUAGACUCAGGGAUGAGAUUAUCUCGAG